RNAcentral lists this ribosomal RNA (539 nucleotides) under uncultured bacterium. RNAcentral describes it as "bacterial SSU rRNA". It matches the Rfam family "Bacterial small subunit ribosomal RNA", at positions 777 to 1313 of the family's 1533-position model. The record is from RNAcentral.
AAUAGAUACCCCUGGUAGUCCACGCCGUAAACGAUGAGUGCUAAGUGUUAGAGGGUUUCCGCCCUUUAGUGCUGCAGCAAACGCGUUAAGCACUCCGCCUGGGGAGUACGGUCGCAAGACUGAAACUCAAAGGAAUUGACGGGGGCCCGCACAAGCGGUGGAGCAUGUGGUUUAAUUCGAAGCAACGCGAAGAACCUUACCAGGUCUUGACAUCCUUCGCUACUUCUAGAGAUAGAAGGUUCCCCUUCGGGGGACGGAGUGACAGGUGGUGCAUGGUUGUCGUCAGCUCGUGUCGUGAGAUGUUGGGUUAAGUCCCGCAACGAGCGCAACCCUUGACCUUAGUUGCCAGCAUUUAGUUGGGCACUCUAAGGUGACUGCCGGUGACAAACCGGAGGAAGGUGGGGAUGACGUCAAAUCAUCAUGCCCCUUAUGACCUGGGCUACACACGUGCUACAAUGGAUGGUACAAAGGGCUGCAAGACUGCGAAGUCAAGCCAAUCCCAUAAAACCAUUCUCAGUUCGGAUUGCAGGCUGCUAACC